This 547-nucleotide ribosomal RNA is filed under the name Fusarium solani. RNAcentral's name for it is "eukaryotic LSU rRNA". The stretch from base 158 to 311 matches the Rfam family "5.8S ribosomal RNA". The record is from RNAcentral. Lineage: Eukaryota; Fungi; Ascomycota; Sordariomycetes; Hypocreales; Nectriaceae.
UNGNAANUACGAGUUUNCACUCAUCAACCCUGUGAACAUACCUAAAACGUUGCCUCGGCGGGAACAGACGGCCCCGUAACACGGGCCGCCCCCGCCAGAGGACCCCCUAACUCUGUUUCUAUAAUGUUUCUUCUGAGUAAACAAGCAAAUAAAUUAAAACUUUCAACAACGGAUCUCUUGGCUCUGGCAUCGAUGAAGAACGCAGCGAAAUGCGAUAAGUAAUGUGAAUUGCAGAAUUCAGUGAAUCAUCGAAUCUUUGAACGCACAUUGCGCCCGCCAGUAUUCUGGCGGGCAUGCCUGUUCGAGCGUCAUUACAACCCUCAGGCCCCCGGGCCUGGCGUUGGGGAUCGGCGGAAGCCCCCUGCGGGCACAACGCCGUCCCCCAAAUACAGUGGCGGUCCCGCCGCAGCUUCCAUUGCGUAGUAGCUAACACCUCGCAACUGGAGAGCGGCGCGGCCACGCCGUAAAACACCCAACUUCUGAAUGUUGACCUCGAAUCAGGUAGGAAUACCCGCUGAACUUAAGCAUAUCAAUAAGCCGGGAGGAA